UGGGGAAUUUUGGACAAUGGGGGAAACCCUGAUCCAGCCAUCCCGCGUGUGCGAUGAAGGCCUUCGGGUUGUAAAGCACUUUUGGCAGGAAAGAAACGUCGCGGGUUAAUACCCCGCGGAACUGACGGUACCUGCAGAAUAAGCACCGGCUAACUACGUGCCAGCAGCCGCGGUAAUACGUAGGGUGCAAGCGUUAAUCGGAAUUACUGGGCGUAAAGCGUGCGCAGGCGGUUCGGAAAGAAAGAUGUGAAAUCCCAGAGCUUAACUUUGGAACUGCAUUUUUAACUACCGGGCUAGAGUGUGUCAGAGGGAGGUGGAAUUCCGCGUGUAGCAGUGAAAUGCGUAGAUAUGCGGAGGAACACCGAUGGCGAAGGCAGCCUCCUGGGAUAACACUGACGCUCAUGCACGAAAGCGUGGGGAGCAAACAGGAUUAGAUACCCUGGUAGUCCACGCCCUAAACGAUGUCAACUAGCUGUUGGGGUCUUCGGACCUUGGUAGCGCAGCUAACGCGUAAGUUGACCGCCUGGGGAGUNCGGUCGCAAGAUUAAAACUC
RNAcentral lists this ribosomal RNA (553 nucleotides) under uncultured bacterium. RNAcentral's name for it is "partial 16S ribosomal RNA". It matches the Rfam family "Bacterial small subunit ribosomal RNA", at positions 355 to 902 of the family's 1533-position model. The record is from RNAcentral.